UACAGGGGGGGCAAGCGUUGUUCGGAAUUACUGGGCGUAAAGGGCUCGUAGGUGGCCAACUAAGUCAGACGUGAAAUCCCUCAGCUUAACUGGGGAACUGCGUCUGAUACUGGAUGGCUUGAGUUUGGGAGAGGGAUGCGGAAUUCCAGGUGUAGCGGUGAAAUGCGUAGAUAUCGGGAGGAACACCGGUGGCGAAGGCGGUUCUCUGGGCCUUACCUGACGCUGAGGAGCGAAAGCGUGGGGAGCGAACAGG
RNAcentral lists this ribosomal RNA (253 nucleotides) under uncultured bacterium. Its description in RNAcentral is "partial 16S ribosomal RNA". It matches the Rfam family "Bacterial small subunit ribosomal RNA", at positions 524 to 776 of the family's 1533-position model. The record is from RNAcentral.